RNAcentral lists this long non-coding RNA (1499 nucleotides) under Apteryx haastii (Great spotted kiwi). RNAcentral describes it as "lncRNA (ENSAHAG00000018942.1)". Lineage: Eukaryota; Metazoa; Chordata; Aves; Apterygiformes; Apterygidae. The record is from RNAcentral.
NNNNNNNNNNNNNNNNNNNNGGCACCCACGCGCUCUGAGGGGCCCCGGCGCCCCGAGGCGCCUUGGCGAGCCGCCGUUUUAACUUAUUCUGGAUUUUUGCCUGGGCCGCGCGGCAGCGCACGGCCAUCGCGCACCGGGACGAUGCACCGUGCACGGCCCCGGCCCGGCGCGCUGCGCUGCCGCGGAGCCGGGGCUCCGAUCCUGCCGCCUCCCCCCGGGGGGCCGGGACCCCCGGCUGCAGCCCUGGGAUGCUGCGGAGAGGCUGGGGGCUGCUGCACGUGGUGCCGGGCUGCUCCGUGCGGUGCUGGGCUGCUGCACGUGGUGCUGGGCUCCGUGCAGUGCCGGGCUGCUCCGUGCAGUGCCGGGCUCUGGUGCCAGGCUGCUCCACACGGUGCCAGACUGCUCCAUGCCAUGCCGGGCUGCUCUGCAUGGUGCUGGGCUCCAUGCAGUGCCGGGCUGCUCCAUGCAGUGCCGGGCUCUGGUGCUGGGCUCCCUGCGCGGUGCUGGGCUGCUCCGCGCGGUGCCGAGCUCCUCAUGGGCGCGGGGCUGCAGGAGCUACCGGCGACGCCGGAGCCGGGGACGGUUAUAAAGCAAGCGGACACGGGGGGCACCGUCACCCCUGCCCAGGGCAACGGUUUGGGACCCACAGCUGCCUUGGGGACCCUGCAGGGACGUCGGCUGGGGCUCAGGGCCCGGCAGCUGGGGCCGGCGUCUCCGGAGCUCCGGGCACGCUGCCGUGAACUGCACUGCUUGGAAACAAGGAUAAUAUAUACCGGAACCGUGCUGGGCUGCCUCCUGCGUCUGUGCACUGCCGCGGCCUCCCCGUGUCCUGGUCCCUGGCUGCAUCCAGAUGCGGGGAUGUGCCAUGGGAUGCGGGGAUGUGCCAUGGGAUGCAGGGAUGUGCCAUGGGAUGCGGGGAUGUCCUGUGGGAUGCAGGGACAUGCCGUGGGAUGCAGGGAUGCGCCGUGGGAUGCAGGGACGUGCCAUGGGAUGCAGGGACAUGCCGUUGCACAGCCCGAUCCCACACCUGCAGCGCCAUCCCUGUCCCUGCACGGGGGGUUCUGCCCCCGGACGCCUGGGCCCCCUGCCCAUGGGGGGGACGCGGAUGGGCACUGGGGCUCUGCGGGCUCGGCCCCGGCCCGGCGGCAGCGGGACGGGAAGUGAUUCAGGCCGACGGCAGCCCGCGGAGCUGAGCCCGGCUUCCUGGUGCUGAGUCAGCCGCCCCGCCGCCGCUUUGCCCCACGGCCGCCCCAUGGCUGCCCCACGGCCGUGCAGGCCCCACGACGCUGCCCCACAGGGAGCCGGCCAUCCCGGCCGCGGGGCAGAGUCCGGCCCCGGCUCGGCAGCCUGCCGGCACGGCACUUUGCACCGGCAGCGUCCACGCCGCUCCGGCCAAGCUUGGGAACGGGAAGGGGAAGGCGGAAGCCGGCCCCGGAGCCGCAGCCGGGCCGGGCUGGGCUGGGGCACAAGAGGUGCCGGGCCGGGCUGGGCGGCAAGGG